This 305-nucleotide ribosomal RNA is filed under the name uncultured bacterium. RNAcentral describes it as "bacterial SSU rRNA". It matches the Rfam family "Bacterial small subunit ribosomal RNA", at positions 337 to 659 of the family's 1533-position model. The record is from RNAcentral.
GCCUACGGGGGGCAGCAGUAGGGAAUAUUGCUCGAUGGGGGAAACCCUGAAGCAGCAACGCCGCGUGGAGGAUGAAGGUUUUCGGAUUGUAAACUCCUUUUGUUAGAGAAGAUAAUGACGGUAUCUAACGAAUAAGCACCGGCUAACUCCGUGCCAGCAGCCGCGGUAAUACGGAGGGUGCAAGCGUUACUCGGAAUCACUGGGCGUAAAGAGCGCGUAGGCGGGAUAGCAAGUCAGAUGUGAAAUCCUAUGGCUUAGCCAUAGAACUGCAUUUGAAACUGUUAUUCUAGAGUAUGGGAGAGGUA